Molecule: ribosomal RNA, 468 nt
Filed under: uncultured bacterium
Lineage: Bacteria
Description: partial 16S ribosomal RNA
Rfam family: Bacterial small subunit ribosomal RNA
Source: RNAcentral
GCCGCCCGCUCUCUUCUUUCUUAACACAUGCGAGUCGAACGGAAAGGCCCUGCCUUUGUGGGGUGCUCGAGUGGCGAACGGGUGAGUAACACGUGAGUAACCUGCCCUUGACUUUGGGAUAACUCCAGGAAACUGGGGCUAAUACCGGAUAGGAGCCCCUGCUGCAUGGUGGGGGUUGGAAAGUUUCGGCGGUUGGGGAUGGACUCGCGGCUUCUCAGCUUGUUGGUGGGGUAGUGGCUUACCAAGGCUUUGACGGGUAGCCGGCCUGAGAGGGUGACCGGCCACAUUGGGACUGAGAUACGGCCCAGACUCCUACGGGAGGCAGCAGUGGGGAAUAUUGCACAAUGGGCGGAAGCCUGAUGCAGCGACGCCGCGUGCGGGAUGACGGCCUUCGGGUUGUAAACCGCUUUCGCCUGUGACGAAGCGUGAGUGACGGUAAUGGGUAAAGAAGCAACGGCUAACUACGUG